GUGGGGAAUAUUGGACAAUGGGGGGAACCCUGAUCCAGCCAUGCCGCGUGUGUGAAGAAGGCCUUUUGGUUGUAAAGCACUUUAAGCGAGGAGGAGGCUACCGAGAUUAAUACUCUUGGAUAGUGGACGUUACUCGCAGAAUAAGCACCGGCUAACUCUGUGCCAGCAGCCGCGGUAAUACAGAGGGUGCAAGCGUUAAUCGGAUUUACUGGGCGUAAAGCGCGCGUAGGUGGCCAAUUAAGUCAAAUGUGAAAUCCCCGAGCUUAACUUGGGAAUUGCAGUCGAUACUGGUUGGCUAGAGUAUGGGAGAGGAUGGUAGAAUUCCAGGUGUAGCGGUGAAAUGCGUAGAGAUCUGGAGGAAUACCGAUGGCGAAGGCAGCCAUCUGGCCUAAUACUGACACUGAGGUGCGAAAGCAUGGGGAACAAACAGGAUUAGAUACCUUUGUAGUCC
Molecule: ribosomal RNA, 451 nt
Filed under: uncultured bacterium
Lineage: Bacteria
Description: partial 16S ribosomal RNA
Rfam family: Bacterial small subunit ribosomal RNA
Source: RNAcentral